RNAcentral lists this ribosomal RNA (277 nucleotides) under uncultured bacterium. Its description in RNAcentral is "partial 16S ribosomal RNA". It matches the Rfam family "Bacterial small subunit ribosomal RNA", at positions 77 to 339 of the family's 1533-position model. The record is from RNAcentral.
UUGCUAUGAGCUGUUUUAGCGGCGGACGGGUGAGUAACGCGUGGAUAAUCUACCUUAAAGACCGGGACAACAGUUGGAAACGACUGCUAAUACCGGAUGACAUUAGUUUACGGCAUCGUGAGCUGAUCAAAGGAGGCCUCUUAACAAUGCUCCCGCUUUAAGAUGAGUCCGCGUACGAUUAGCUAGUUGGUGAGGUAACGGCCCACCAAGGCGACGAUCAGUAGCCGGACUGAGAGGUUGAACGGCCACAUUGGGACUGAGAUACGGCCCAGACUCC